RNAcentral lists this ribosomal RNA (468 nucleotides) under uncultured bacterium. RNAcentral describes it as "partial 16S ribosomal RNA". It matches the Rfam family "Bacterial small subunit ribosomal RNA", at positions 28 to 507 of the family's 1533-position model. The record is from RNAcentral.
GACGAACGCUGGCGGCGUGCUUAACACAUGCAAGUCGAACGGAAAGGCCCUGCUUUUGUGGGGUGCUCGAGUGGCGAACGGGUGAGUAACACGUGAGUAACCUGCCCUUGACUUUGGGAUAACUUCAGGAAACUGGGGCUAAUACCGGAUAGGAGCUCCUGCUGCAUGGUGGGGGUUGGAAAGUUUCGGCGGUUGGGGAUGGACUCGCGGCUUAUCAGCUUGUUGGUGGGGUAGUGGCUUACCAAGGCUUUGACGGGUAGUCGGCCUGAGAGGGUGACCGGCCACAUUGGGACUGAGAUACGGCCCAGACUCCUACGGGAGGCAGCAGGGGGGAAUAUUGCACAAUGGGCGGAAGCCUGAUGCAGCAACGCCGCGUGCGGGAUGACGGCCUUCGGGUUGUAAACCGCUUUCGCCUGUGACGAAGCGUGAGUGACGGUAAUGGGUAAAGAAGCACCGGCUAACUACGUG